CUGAAAGUUCGCUGGUUCGAAUCCCUGGACAGACUAGGUGAACAAUCUGCCGGAGUGCCCCUGAGUAAGGCACUUUAAUUGCUCCUGUAAAUCGCUCUGGAUAACAGCGCCUGCUAAAUUACAAAAAAAUGAACGUAAAUGGUUAAUAUUUUUAGUCUGUGUAUUCUUUUAUACUCCAUUCUUUCACCUCCUGCUCUCCUAGAUCAAUCGUAUGGUAAAAACACCCAGCUGAAGGCUCUACUGAAUCUGAGAGAUGGCAGAAAUAACGCAAUUACAUUUCUCUUUGACAUCUCAGAGAAGAUGGGGGACAUCAAAUCAUUUAUAAAUGUAGCAUACACCGACAGCUAUUACAAAGGCAAACAGCCCUUCAUAUUGCCAUUGAGAGAAGGAGUGCCUAUUCUGUUCAGCUAUUGAUCAAGGAAGGAGCAGAAGUCCAUGCCGAAGCCUGUGGGAAAUUUUUCCAGCCUUAUGAUCUACUCAGCUUCUACUGUAGUUUGGUGAGCUGAUUCUGCCCCUGGCUGUUUGCACCAACCAGUCUGAGGUAGAUGACUUCCUGCUGGAGAACUCCUACCAUUGGGUGGAUGUGAGAGAGAGGGACUCCCUGGGUAACAUGGUGCUGCAUGCCCUGGUGGUGGUGUCAACUGAUAACACACCAGAGAACACGGACUUCAUCACCUCCAUGUACGACUACAUCACCUCACCACUGCUGCUCGCCUGCACCCCAGUUGGAGGCUGGAGGACUUGGACAACAACCACGGCCUGACGCCUAUAAAACUGUCUGCCAAGUUUGGCAAGAUCAGGGUAAGGAACGUGUCUGAUAUGGAGUAAUGUUGUAUAUUUGUUCGGCCCACUACUCUAUGUAGACCUACUGGAGAACAGAUCAACAGUUUGUUGUUUACAAAUGAAGCCAUCUGAUCUUUAAUGUAAUAUUUUGUUCAUGUUAGACAUCAGAAGAAAAUACAUUGUUCCUCCAUAUGUGUUUAUGAUAAUGUGCUACAUCCUUCCAUUACGUGUUGGCCAAUUGUUGUAUUCUUCCUCUAGUUGUUUGAGAACAUGAUGCAUCAUGAGUUUCAUGAGAGGGAGACCAGACACGUGUCCCGUAAAUUCACUGAGUGGGUGUACAGACCUGUCCCUUCCUCCCUGGAUGAUUUGGCCUCACUGUGACUCCUAGGAGAAGAAUUCUGCCCUGGAGAUUGUCUACAGCGUUAAUAUAAUAAGGAUCAAAUCAUUAGCCCCAUUUGGUGCUACAAUGCAUCCGUUGUCCUGAUCUUGUUCACAUGUAUCUACACUGUGUCUGCAUUUUGACCAGAUUUCCCGAUCCCUCCCUGUAUGCAAAUUAUUUCAGAAAUAUUCUUUCAAAAUAAUAUGUAUUUAUUUAAAGACAUAUUGAUGGCCUGAGAAAAUGGUGCCUCCUGUCAAUGAUUUAAGAGGGCUGGAUAAUGAUUAUUUAAAUGGUUUCACUGUUCAGCUCCGUCUACACACAAUGUGCCUGACUACAUUCGGAGGUGGUCAGGAAGAUCAGAUCACAAUGCAUCUUUUAAUCGUCUAAACCUGUCUAGAAAAGUGGGUACAAUCAGAAUGUGUACAAGAUUAAGGACAUGUUAGCACCAGGUUUAAAUGGGGCUCUAAAUGCCAUCUCCUGUCGUUGUGCCCUUGAGAAAGGCACUCAACCCUUAUCUGCUCCAGGGGUGCUGCGCGGUGGUUGACCCUGUGCUCCAACCUCUCUGUGGGUGUGUCUCGGGGGUACGUGUACUGUAAGAAAAUGCAUUUCAAGAGAAAGAGAGACCAAAAGUAAGACCUACUUGCAUCAAAGUGUGAUUCUACCCACUGGACACAGAUGUC
Molecule: long non-coding RNA, 1842 nt
Organism: Oncorhynchus masou masou (cherry salmon)
Lineage: Eukaryota; Metazoa; Chordata; Actinopteri; Salmoniformes; Salmonidae
Exons: 3
Source: RefSeq, a predicted model, not a curated record